AUCACUUCCUGUUCUCACUUACGUUAUAGCAGCUCUCUCUCUCUCUAUUCUCUCUCUUCAACUUAAUAAGAGAAAAAAAUGAAAAAAUCACAGCUUGUUGCCAUAGAAACCGUAAAGAAUUGUAAACUUCUGUUGUGAAGAUGUUCCAACUUAUACACAGCGCUGACACUGGAGACUCCUUCCUUCCUUCCACACACACACACACACACACACACACACACACACUUUUCUACUUAUAGAAAACGUCACCAUGGCAACCGUCCCUGUCACUAACGUAUUAGAGCGAGCUCAUUCAUUUAAAACUGCGCUGCUGUCAGAGCUGCUGUCCAGGAGAAUUACUCAGCAUCUGAUGACCAAUCAUUUGAGUUUGAAGUUUUAGCAAAGAAUUUAUGUUCAAUACAAUUACAGUUUCGUUAACAGGUUUAAAUUCUUUUUUUGUUUUUUGAGGUCGUUUAUCUGAAUUGUGAGCACAAGCUCAUGUGAAGGAAACUUUAUCCGUGUUUAAGUUGUGACAUCAGCCUUAAACUUAACGGUAAGCGCGAUCAAUUCAGAAACUUCCUCUUGCUCUCGUCCUCUCUUCCUCUGCUCUCAGGUCUGACCAGAGUUAAAUCAUUCACGACCAUCAUUUCAGUUUCCUUCCUGCGUGUACUGCUGACCUCUCCAGCAUCGCUCGAUAUCCAGCUAUUGAUUUUCCCGUGGAGCCGGCGCUUCCCGAUGAGAGCGUGCGGAAUGAUCUCUUCUCUACAGAGCAGGAAAUGACACGGCACAGCACCGGGGUUUCUUUUCUCCUCCUCCUCCUCCUCCUCCUCCUCCUCCUCACAGCUCAGAGUGAACAGAGUAAAAUACAUCUCUGUGAAUCCUGUGGUCAUUUCCUUAUCGCGCCGCUCCGGUCCUUUACUUCACUGCAGAAGCUAGUUCUUCACCAUGUUCUCUCUCUCUGAUGGACCAGCGUGUUUCUUUUUCCCCAUCAUGCACGGCUCCAGCUCCGCCCCCAGCCGCACUGACCUGAAUAAAGAUAAGAAUUAAGGCUGUGUUUUGAAGCUCAGCAUCAUCCUGAACAUCAGCUGAAGAGUUUUCAUGGAUGUUUGCUCUUGUCCUCACGGCUCGAUACACCACAGUGGAACGCUGUUCACUCUGAAGAAUCAGAAAGACCACCUGCUGUUCCGAAAACAUUCCACCUGAAUCAGGAAUCACGGCUUUAUCGGCUUUACAUGUUUAUAUCGGGAAAAAUCCAUCCGGAAUAAUCGAGAUUCAGAGCAUGGAGAGAUCGCCGCUUACUCUGUCUCACUGAGAGUUAGGAACGAUUAAUCCUGUAAAAACCAGCAACUGACCAGAUCAUACACACCCCAUACAUCAGCUGCUGACACACACACACAAAGACACAUACACACACACAUACACAAACACAGACACACACACACACACACACACACAUACAUACAAAAGGUCUUAAAGAAUCUCGUUAAAAUCUGCAGCACAUAAACAGUACAGUUGUGUGCAAAAGUUUGUGCACCCUUAUGGCUGAACGUUGAUUCAGCGUCACUCAGGAGACCAGAGAACAAUCCAAGCCUCAAUAAUCUGAGGUUAAUAAUUUAAAACAUUCCAUCUCAAAGUGUUUUAUUCCUGUUAUUCCUCUCUCUCUCUCUCUCUCUGUCUCUCUCUCUCUCUCUCUCUCUCUCUCUCUCUGUCUCUCUCUCUCUCUAGCAGAGCUUCACAAUUGACUUAACAC
Long non-coding RNA from Hemibagrus wyckioides, 1729 nucleotides. RefSeq lists it as uncharacterized. NCBI's taxonomy places the organism in Eukaryota, Metazoa, Chordata, Actinopteri, Siluriformes, Bagridae. The record is from RefSeq and is a predicted model, not a curated record. The transcript is spliced from 3 exons.